GGGAGGGUAAAAAUGCAGAAUGGAUUUCGAAAGAACACCAAUAGAAUAGUUGUACAGAUAGAAAAUAUCACAGAAGGCAAUUGAACGAACUCUUGAAGAAACUUCGGUAAAACGAAAAAUAGCUCACCACCAAGUUUAAAAUCAAUAGGGAUAUAGAAAGAUCACCACCCUAAUGACAAUAAACAAGGAUACAGAACUGAAAGCAAAAGACUCACCACUCAAGGACACAUCCAAGAGAUACAGAGUUCAAAAGAGCACUCCAAGAGAGCUUCUGCCAAUAUUCUCAGUUUUCUAAAAUCUUUUCUAAGCCCUAAACCCUAAAAUAAAUACUAGUGCAUGAAACAACCCUUAAUCUAUAGGAAAUUUCGAAAUUAAG
RNAcentral lists this long non-coding RNA (376 nucleotides) under Musa acuminata (dwarf banana). Its description in RNAcentral is "long non-coding RNA (MACU_LNC007096)". Lineage: Eukaryota; Viridiplantae; Streptophyta; Magnoliopsida; Zingiberales; Musaceae. The record is from RNAcentral.